CCGUGCAACCUUAAUAGUCAAUCGGUGAUAAUGGGCCCAUGACCCAUAUUGCGGCCCAUGUGGGCCACACGCUCGUAUGGCCCACAUAACCCAAGAUGGCCUUAUCAGUGUGACUCACGCAACCGACCCAACAUUAACCACACUCUUGUGUGAUUCUUCCCGUAUGGGGCCCAAAGGCCCAUUGGGCCUAUGUGGUCCAGUUCGGC
Molecule: long non-coding RNA, 206 nt
Filed under: Gossypium barbadense (sea-island cotton)
Lineage: Eukaryota; Viridiplantae; Streptophyta; Magnoliopsida; Malvales; Malvaceae
Description: long non-coding RNA (GBAR_LNC004351)
Source: RNAcentral